Molecule: ribosomal RNA, 298 nt
Filed under: uncultured bacterium
Lineage: Bacteria
Description: partial 16S ribosomal RNA
Rfam family: Bacterial small subunit ribosomal RNA
Source: RNAcentral
AUUGAACGCUGGCGGCGUGCUUAACACAUGCAAGUCGUGCGGUAACAGGCGUAGCAAUACGUGCUGACGAGCGGCGAACGGGUGCGUAAUACAUGGGAAUCUGCCCUUUAGUGGGGAAUAACCCGGCGAAAGCCGGGCUAAUGCCGCAUAAGAUCUUCGGAUGAAAGCGGGGGAUCGUAAGACCUCGCGCUGAUGGAUGAGCCCAUGUCGGAUUAGCUAGNGGUGAGGUAACGGCUCACCAAGGCGACGAUCCGUAGCUGGUCUGAGAGGACGGCCAGCCACACUGGGACUGAGACAC